This 1275-nucleotide long non-coding RNA is filed under the name Cricetulus griseus (Chinese hamster). RNAcentral's name for it is "lncRNA (ENSCGRG00015035451.1)". The record is from RNAcentral. Lineage: Eukaryota; Metazoa; Chordata; Mammalia; Rodentia; Cricetidae.
GGCCAGAGGCAGCGACAGCGAGGGGCCUCUGUCAUGUUUGGGCCACAGCCAGCAGUCCACCUUUUCUCCUGUAAGCACCUUCCUUUUCCAUCUGGGGAGGGAAGCUGAGAUGGCCCAUCAGUUUGACAGGCAGCCUUGUCCCUGGUCCCUUGGGGCUGCCUCGUGAUUCAUACCAGGAACUAAGAACCCAGUAGUUUCUCAGCCUCUGAAGUUGGGUGCCAGAGCAGGCCCAAUUGGUGUUGAAGACCUGGAGGGUUCCUGGAGUGCCACUGGUCCUCAGUUACCUUUGGGAGCCUGGAAGCAUGGAUUAAUAGCACCGAAGAAGAAGCAGCAGGGGAUGUGUGAAACCAGUAAUCCUUUUACUGCUGGACCUGGCUGGGUUUGCACAGCACAGCUGGAACUGCAAACAUCAUUUGAGACCCUGGGGGAGUUAAAUGGACAGACUGAGGUUGAGAGCAAAGGGUUAGAGACAUCCUCAGAGACGUAAUCUGCCCAUUGAACUAAUCGAUCUGGAACCCCCUGUACCACUGCUUCUUGUUUUGGUGACAAGAAAGAGAAGAGAUGCUUAAAAGUCCUUCUAAGUCACGGACCUCAUGCAGAACAUUCCCAUUCAAGGGUCUAAAUGCACACAGAGUGUUGACCCUAUCUUCAUGAAGACACACCAUGGCUACAGUAGACAGCACCUCACUCUGUAAUCUGUUCAUCGAUCUCCCUGUAGAGCCCUAUCUGGGUGUGGGUGUGGCUAUGCACUGUUUCUCCAUCCAGACACACAGACAAAUUUUCUCAUACCAGUCAUCAGAGAGGACAGGAACCCAGCUCCUGCAACAGCCUGAGGUAUGCUUUCAUGUCUGUCUGGCCAUUUUUGAACAAUGUGUUCAGAAAACUCUGCUUUGGAGAGUGCAGAAGUUCCUUUUGUUGAAGCACAGGUAGUCUGCUGUUGAACCCAAGAUUGACUCAAGGGAAUUUAAAUAGGAGCUCUUUCUACGAUGACCUCCAGGAAGAAGCUGAAAGGACACCUCUCCCCCCUUUUUGGUGGAAAUUAAGCUCCCAGGUUUCGGCACCAGAUGUCCUGCGAGAUCGUCUUGCCAGCAAGAACGACACAGGACACUCGGAUCCUUCUGCAGUAAAGCUUUAAUGCAUCUUGAGAGAGAGAGCAUAAGCUUACAGGGCGGAGACCCCGAACUCCCAAGAACCCAUCCCUUAUAAAAGCUGGCAACCGCUGCCUCGGACGUGUUACCCCCUGACUCGCUGUAGCUCAUCGGACCAUAUGACGCC